RNAcentral lists this ribosomal RNA (116 nucleotides) under Harmonia dimidiata. RNAcentral describes it as "partial 16S ribosomal RNA". The record is from RNAcentral. Lineage: Eukaryota; Metazoa; Arthropoda; Insecta; Coleoptera; Coccinellidae.
AAAGUUUAAAUGGUCGAACAGACCAAAUAACUAAGCUUCUACACCUAAUUUUAACUUUAAUCCAACAUCGAGGUCGCAAUCUUUUCUUUCGAUUUGAACUCUAAAAAAAAAUUACG